CUUCUUCAUUAAAUUAAAAGUGGAUUUGCAAUAUUUUUCACCUCUCUGGUUGCUAAAUUUGUUAAAUCUGCUGAAAGUUGGAAGACUUUAAGCAAAAUAAAAAGAAGACAAGGAGGUGCAGGUUGAGGGGUGAUGACAAACCUCAGCAUCAGCAGUAUGGCAGGACCACAGCGACGUACCAAUGAGCAAAAACGCGUCUCUUUGCUUAAAAACUAACAAAAUGGCAAUUAUACAACUUCAAAAGACUAGGACUUCAGUGCUUGGAGAAUAAUUUGUCUGAACGUUUAACCCUUUAACAGAGAGGGAACAGUGACAUCAUCAUCUGCUCCUGCAUGGAAAUCCACCUGCUGUGUUACAGUGAAGACAUCCAAGAAAUAAGGACAAACAUCUUGUGACGGUCAACGCUGAAGCUAAAAGCAAAAACAACUCAAACAUCUCUAAAGAGAGAAGGGCUCCUUCAUGGUGCUGAAGUACUUCCCAAAGACUUUCACUGAUCUGAAGUGAAGCUUGAAAAUGAAGAACUGCAUCUCAUCAACAUCAACAUCAUCUGCCACCUCAAGACAACAGGAUUACUGAACACACAAACUCAGGAGUUUUGAUGGCUAAAAACCACAUAAAUGCUGCUCAGGUUCCUUUAAACUGUUUCACUAACUGCUAACUCAUCCACUGAGACACUGAACAAACUACUUGUAUCCUUCCGGGUUUCUGCAGAUAAUGUAUGAUUGUGGAUGUCACAUGCUGCCUUAUCAAAAAUGAAACUGCAUGAUUCAAGCUACAUUAUCCAUGCUUUCUCUGUCACUCCCACAUCUUUAAUUUGUUAACAUUCUCUUCCUUUUCAGUGGAACAAUAAACAAAUAGUUUGGAUGCAGUUGAGGAGCUGGUGAGCUUUAACACAGCCAGCACAAAGCCUCACUUAUAAUACACAAGUUGUUGCAUUGACAGGAGUUAUUAGGGCAAUACAUAUGUCAAUACACUCCCUCAGUUAAAUCUACACCACCUGGAAUCUUGACAUGUUGUUAACCUUCUGUAAAUACUAUAAAGCUUCACUUGGAUAACCUGAUAUGAGUCAGUUCUUUAUUUCAUCACAUUAUUUUUGUCCACUAGCUCCUUAAUAACAAUUAAACAUGCAUGCAAAACACAGCAGCUAUUUACUUAGUCACCAUUUACCCCUGUUUCCAUGGCACAGCAGGGAACACAAACUCCAGCAAGCUACUCUUAUCUUUUUUAAUAAUAAUAAUAAAGUAAAAGAAAAUUACCAAAGAAAAAAAAACUGACAUGGCUUAAGAAAAAAGAUGGAUGAAAUGUUCAUUUGUUUCCACUUCCAGUUCUGUGCUUUUUGAAUAUAUAACACAAAUUGUUUUUCAGAAUAACCUGAUAAUGAAGAUUAAUAUGAAGAGAAUACCUGAUUAGGUUUGGAAAUCAGGCUCAGUCAGGGAGGGAAAAAUAAAGAUACAUUUGAUUAGUAUUGUGAAGGUACCUGCACUGGCUUUUCUAACUUCAUAUGGUUCAAGGUCACAUAUAAAUAGUUCUCCAAAUAAUACAGAGUGACUCCAGUAGAUCAAAUUUUCACUACAAUGAAGAAAAGUGGAUCUCUAUAACAGCGACACACUUCACCAGGCCCUCAAAUAUUCCUCUGAGCAUGUGCAACUUGUUAAAAAAAAUAGCCUUAAUCAUUCUCUAAUUGCACUUUUGAUGUGCAUGCAAACAAGCUUUAAUUAUGUCACAGAUGGGAAAAAAAACCAGCAGCAAUAAUGUUUGCUACUAAACAUGGUGCUCGUUGACAAUCAGAAGCAGACCAGAUUUCCUUCGGGGAUAUCCAAGGGGCUGCUUUUACCUGGAGCAGGUAAUUCACCUGCAGUAAGACAGCACACGGGACCAAUUAACUGAUGAUGGAGUAACAGACAGGGUGGGAGCAGUGUCCUUGCGGCCUUUUUCUUGGCUCUCGUGUAAAUGAAACCAUCCGAAUGUCCCCAACAAAGAAUCUCUCAAAGAGUUUUAAUCUCUAUCAGCUGUCAGGUGAGCCCUCAGUAUGUGACAAAGUCCCUCUCCCUCACUGCCACAAAAUCAAUAAAUGAAUAGAUCAGAAAAUAGCACAAAGUGCAUUCACUGACAGGAUAUUAUUAUUUGUUCAAUGGGAAAGAUUUCUGUCAAUUCUUUUGAUGUGAUUUCUCAAAGAAUUCCUCUGCUGGAUUUAAA
Haplochromis burtoni (Burton's mouthbrooder) is the source of this 2196-nucleotide long non-coding RNA. RefSeq lists it as uncharacterized. The transcript is spliced from 3 exons. The record is from RefSeq and is a predicted model, not a curated record. NCBI's taxonomy places the organism in Eukaryota, Metazoa, Chordata, Actinopteri, Cichliformes, Cichlidae.